AUUUUUUAAAAAAGACAGUGCUUUGGUUUUAAAAAUAAUCUCAGCCACAACAUAGGGUCAGACUCUUACUAGCUUUCCUUUGGAGUUGAAACGUAACACAGGGUCAUUCAGGAGCUUGUGCAGACCUUCUUGGUACUUGGUACUUUUGUAUUUUGUCUAGCAUGUGGAUGUUAUAUUCUUUACACAUGGUAGAACCUUUUUAUCAUUAGAUCCUCAAAAAUAUUCCUUCUGCUCUUGGUGACUAAGCAGAGCACACACAUCAUAAAAUAAUUUAAAACCACUGCAUUGUGAAAUGUCUCAGCUUUAUUUUUUCUUUCAGUGGAGAUUUAUUAAUCGCCCGUGCGUCAGGACUAUUGGAUGCUGCGAUCAGCAGUGGACAAAGUCCCUGUCCUCCUGGGGAAGGCCCAUAGCAAACACGUCAGCGAACUAGUGUGCUGGAGACAGCUAAGCCCAAGUGGUCUCCCCUUGGUUUCAUUCUGAAAUAAAUCCAGUUGUUUAACAUUUUUAUGUAAGUUAAGUCUUAUUUUUUUUCUACUGAAUUUGCUUAAAAAAGAUAAUUGAGUAGCGGUUUCAAGUGCCUCUGUAAAAUAAAAGAAAUAAAAUGCUCCUUUACUGAAGACCCUGGUUGUCCAUACUGACAGAGUGCUAGCUGGGCACCGAGCUUUCUAGUUAGGGACUGCUUUCCCGAGUCCGUCCUGCUGUUCCACGUGGCCAAGGGGCUAAUCCUCACCAAGGGAUGGAAGUUGAAGGGGUGUAUGCCAUUUCAGGUCCCUUCCACCUUCUCUCUGCUUCCCACCAGCAGGAACCCAGCGGUGUGCCCUCAGCCAGCCAUGCAGACAAAUGCUUGGCGCUCUCAGCACCCAGGGAAGGAACCUGGGUCCACGGAGGCCUCUGCAGAGCCUUCCACACAGCUCUGCCUACAGCGAGAGCAACGCAUGCCUUCGUUUCCAAGCCACGGAGUGUGGAGGGGCUAUCACAGCCCACGUCCAUAUGCCAGGGACUCUGAAAGGGCCCAGUGAGAGAUCUUCAUAUAGGAGUGCGGGUUAGGCCUGACUCUCUAAAACCUGUGCUUCUGAAAUACUCUUGGAUUCACGUUUACCAUUGUUUUUAGAGGAAAAGAUAAAAAUUACUAUGUGGUCAGCCUCCCGGCACCCUGGUUCGUCUUAGCUGAACAUUGAGCAUGCUCAUCAGUGGCACAGUCCUCUUUGAUCAGAUGCUCUACCAGACAGCCAUGCCUUGCCCCUUCUUCCUCAGGAAAGUGGGGUGCACAGUCACAGAGCAGGUGAGUAUAGCCCGCCAGCACAGAGACGUGGAGGCAGAAGGACUUCAUAUGUCCGAAGAGCAGCACUGGACUUCCUCCACUCAGGCCAGGUAACUGGACAGAACCAGGGGUUCCAGAUGUCCUCAAACGCCAGCGCUCCGCCCACCAUACCCUCAAGGCUCCACCCCUCCCACAGUUGUGGAACCUUCCACACUAGCCAUGCAGAGCCCCCAGAGCACUGGGUCCAGGCACCACAUGAUGCUCCAGAGCUCUGAUCACCAAGCCAAGAUGAGAACGGAGGAAAGGACACAGUCCACCAGGUGGAGCAGGUAAGAUUUCGAGGCUUCAGGGGAAGCAGCAAGUUCAAAGGAACACAUUCCCAGGAUUGGACGAGCAGCAGGGAGUUGGAAUUCUUUCAAAAUGUAAUUUCCCGCAAAACUGCCAUUAUUUGAGCUAAAGCCAACCAACUGAGACCCUGUGGUCUCUAGAGAAAUUUUGCACCCCUGACCCUUAACUACCUAGAAGAUCUUAAAUUAGUGGCCCAUAAUGAGAGAUGAUCAGAGAUAACCUUCUGACCUAUCAGUAGGGCAGGGCAAACUACUAAUUACUGAACACCUGUUCUUGUCCUGAGAACGCCCCUUCUCCUCUCUGGAGCCCCAGGGCAUCUAACCACAUAGCUGACUCAUAAUUUGAUAUUUACCUAUCCCC
Long non-coding RNA from Myotis davidii, 1969 nucleotides. RefSeq lists it as uncharacterized. The transcript is spliced from 3 exons. Lineage: Eukaryota; Metazoa; Chordata; Mammalia; Chiroptera; Vespertilionidae. The record is from RefSeq and is a predicted model, not a curated record.